GUGGCUGUAGCGCAGCGGUAGCGCACAAGAUUGUGGAUCUUGUGGUCGCGGGUUCGAUCCCCGUCAGCCACCCCA
RNAcentral lists this transfer RNA (75 nucleotides) under Candidatus Omnitrophota bacterium. RNAcentral's name for it is "Candidatus Omnitrophica bacterium (sediment metagenome) tRNA-His". It matches the Rfam family "tRNA". Rfam says of the family: Transfer RNA (tRNA) molecules are approximately 80 nucleotides in length. Their secondary structure includes four short double-helical elements and three loops (D, anti-codon, and T loops). The record is from RNAcentral. Lineage: Bacteria; Pseudomonadati; Candidatus Omnitrophota.